This 188-nucleotide ribosomal RNA is filed under the name Delftia sp. 1(27-11)(10.4.21). RNAcentral describes it as "partial 16S ribosomal RNA". It matches the Rfam family "Bacterial small subunit ribosomal RNA", at positions 347 to 526 of the family's 1533-position model. The record is from RNAcentral. Lineage: Bacteria; Pseudomonadati; Pseudomonadota; Betaproteobacteria; Burkholderiales; Comamonadaceae.
GGCAGCAGUGGGGAAUUUUGGACAAUGGGCGAAAGCCUGAUCCAGCAAUGCCGCGUGCAGGAUGAAGGCCUUCGGGUUGUAAACUGCUUUUGUACGGAACGAAAAAGCUCCUUCUAAUACAGGGGGCCCAUGACGGUACCGUAAGAAUAAGCACCGGCUAACUACGUGCCAGCAGCCGCGGUAAUAAU